UACGUAGGGUGCAAGCGUUAAUCGGAAUUACUGGGCGUAAAGCGUGCGCAGGCGGUUUUGUAAGUCUGAUGUGAAAUCCCCGGGCUCAACCUGGGAAUUGCAUUGGAGACUGCAAGGCUAGAAUCUGGCAGAGGGGGGUAGAAUUCCACGUGUAGAAGUGAAAUGCGUAGAGAUGUGGAGGAACACCGAUGGCGAAGGCAGCCCCCUGGGUCAAGAUUGACGCUCAUGCACGAAAGCGUGGGAGCAAACAGG
This 252-nucleotide ribosomal RNA is filed under the name uncultured bacterium. RNAcentral describes it as "partial 16S ribosomal RNA". It matches the Rfam family "Bacterial small subunit ribosomal RNA", at positions 524 to 776 of the family's 1533-position model. The record is from RNAcentral.